CGUGGUUGACCUCUUGAGUUGGGAAUUCAAGAACUAAUACCAAGGAAGUGUAUCAAAGCUGACAAAACGAGCCAAAUAAGUGCAAAAAGAAAGCAACGAAGGGAGGGCAGGGGAUCAAGUAGGAAAAAUCAGUAAAUUCUAACAGAAGAAAAAUUGCUUGCAAUAAGAUGAAUAAAAAACUAAUUUUGAACUGCCAUUCACGAAAUAUAAUCAUUAAUCCCAGUGGAACAUUCUGGUCUAUCUAAUACACUCCUUUCCAGAUUUACAAAUAAUUGCUUCUCCGUCCAGGUGUACAUCUCCGUGGCUAAGCAACCACUACAAGUUGCAGUGGCGUAUCUAGGUUCCACGUUCAGCUAGGGCGGUUGACUUUGACUUUGACCAUUGAUCAUUGAUCGCCGAUAAUCAACGAUCGUAUUAAAUUUUGAUUAAAUAAUAUUAAAAAUUAUUCAAUAUAUAUGCAAAUACACUAAAAUGUUCAACACCAAGUCUCAAGUCAAUCAACACUCCAAGUACUCAAGUCAUCCAAGUGCUCAACACAUUCAACUCAACUCUCAACACCUUUAACAGACAACAAAGGGCCGGCAAAUUGCAGUUGCACAAGCACAAAUCAACAAAUACAAUACAUCAACAUACAAGAAAAACUUACAACCUCGAAAUUGUAUUCUCAGAAAGUCAGUUCAUGAAAACUUUUGACUGCAUAAACAUAGAAUAGUAGCAUAAGAUUACACUUACAACCUCGAAAUUGUAUACUCAGAAAGUCAUUUCAAACAAUACAACACACAGCCACCUUCCUGGUCAACUUGAUAUUUGGAUUCUUAGAGAUUUUAAUGAAACGAUUCUAAUUUAAGAUCCACUCUCCAACUCUUGAAUCCAAAUAAACCAUUGUCUAGUCACCUAUUACAUCCAAUAGAUGAAUAACACAAUUACACAAAAAUACAUCAAUUCAUUACAUCAAACAAUACUCAAGUCAGUCAACAGACUCAAGUCACUCUCGACACACUCAACAAACAACACAGGGCUUGAAAAUUGCAGUUGCACAACAGCACAAGCACAAAACGACAAAUCAAUUUGAAUUGUUGAAUUGCAAAUUGACAAAUCAACAAAGGGUUUGCACAAGUUUGCAAAUUGCAGUAUUCAAGACUUCAAGUUAUUCAAAUUUCAACUCACCAGUCACCUUGCCAGUCAGCAGUCGCCUCCAAGAGUCCAAGUCCAGUCCUCGGAGUCUGUCGGUCGGAGAAUGGCCCCUGAGAGUCCCUGACUUCGCACACCAAUAGUACAUAGUCCACCGCCCAUCGCCUCCAGCUGCUACUUCUGUUGUUCUAUAGCUAUGCUUCGAAUGGAAAUUUAAGGGUUUGUUGUUUACACUUGGCUGCCGGAUUCAAAUGGAGUUUUGGGGUUGAUUUGGGUUGGAAAUUGAGAAAUCAAAUUAAUACCAAUGCCAUGGACCUUGCUGCCGGUUUCAAUUCCUUAUUUGGGCCUAAUUCAUUUUUUUUUUUAAAAAGGCCCAAUCUUAAAUCAGAUAGUCCAAAUGAAAAAAAGUAAAAAUUGGGAGUCUUCUUCUCCGUUCGGCUUCCUUCUCUGCAACUGCAAAUCUGCCACUGUUGCACCUGUGCGCAGCCACCAACCUGGUGGACACAGAAGGUCCGGCGGAUCUAGCUAGGGCGGCCGCCCUAGCUCAGAGCGAGCUUGUCCUGAUCCGAUCUAAGUAUGGGCUUCUUGAACGGACAAAUCAUGACUAGAUAAUUGUCUAAGCUCUUUUUCAUCAGAUGAAAUGACGGGGUCUUGUUUUUCAUAUGAUUGCACAUUAUCAGAGAGAUCACGUUCGGAUCCUGUCUCAGUAUGGGCUUAUUGAAUAGAAAAUUCAUGAUUUGAGAAUUGUUCAUCAAAUGAAAUGUCAGGGUCUUCUUGGACAGAAAAAUCAUGAUUGAUUAAUCGUCUACUCUCUUGUUCAUCAGAUGAAAUGUCAAGAUCUUAUUUUUCAUGUGAC
Molecule: long non-coding RNA, 1987 nt
Filed under: Olea europaea (common olive)
Lineage: Eukaryota; Viridiplantae; Streptophyta; Magnoliopsida; Lamiales; Oleaceae
Description: long non-coding RNA (OEUR_LNC009295)
Source: RNAcentral